Molecule: long non-coding RNA, 462 nt
Organism: Drosophila gunungcola (fruit fly)
Lineage: Eukaryota; Metazoa; Arthropoda; Insecta; Diptera; Drosophilidae
Exons: 2
Source: RefSeq, a predicted model, not a curated record
CUGACCUAACAAGCCGAUUUCAACUAGUCAGUAAAUCGGAAACUUUACAGCACUGCUACAGAAAGGAAAAACUUUUUGUUCAAUCAGAUCGCACAGGUGGAUAAUGGAAUUCCAGAAACAGUACAAUUCCAAUUACAAUUUAGGAACUGCACCUGACCGUGUAAAAUUUUGCAUAUGCGAGCGUAGUCGUGAAAAUGUGAUUGUCUGCAGCCGCUGCAAACAGUCAUUUGUGGGCCGCAUUUCGCAACGUUGUCCAAAACACCCCGAAGUGACAUUUCUUAUGGACGCCCGUCAAUGCGCUUUCUGCGGUGCCCAUGCUAAUUUUUUGCAAGUAUCCGAGACCAAGCGCUGAAAUGGGAUAUUCUCAAAAACAGAGACUUCGUUGACGAAUCUGCUAUUACAUAAACAUUAUUAUGUAUACAAAAGUGCCAAUAAGUAAAUAAACCGAAAAUUGUUGUUAAA